AUACGGAGGGUGCAAGCGUUAAUCGGAAUUACUGGGCGUAAAGCGUACGUAGGCGGUUCGUUAAGUUAGAUGUGAAAGCCCCGGGCUUAACCUGGGAACUGCAUUUAAAACUGGCGAACUAGAGUUGAGUAGAGGGGAGUGGAAUUUCAGGUGUAGCGGUGAAAUGCGUAGAGACCUGAAGGAACACCAGUGGCGAAGGCGACUCCCUGGACUCGAACUGACGCUGAGGUACGAAAGCGUGGGUAGCAAACGGGAUUAGAAACCCUUGUAGUCC
This 274-nucleotide ribosomal RNA is filed under the name uncultured bacterium. RNAcentral's name for it is "partial 16S ribosomal RNA". It matches the Rfam family "Bacterial small subunit ribosomal RNA", at positions 523 to 796 of the family's 1533-position model. The record is from RNAcentral.